This 496-nucleotide ribosomal RNA is filed under the name uncultured bacterium. RNAcentral's name for it is "partial 16S ribosomal RNA". It matches the Rfam family "Bacterial small subunit ribosomal RNA", at positions 29 to 507 of the family's 1533-position model. The record is from RNAcentral.
AUGAACGCUGGCGGCGUGCCUAAUACAUGCAAGUCGCGCGAACAGACGAGGAGCUUGCUCCUCUGACGUUAGCGGCGGACGGGUGAGUAACACGUGGAUAACCUACCUAUAAGACUGGGAUAACUUCGGGAAACCGGAGCUAAUACCGGAUAAUAUAUUGAACCGCAUGGUUCAAUAGUGAAAGACGGUUUUGCUGUCACUUAUAGAUGGAUCCGCGCCGCAUUAGCUAGUUGGUAAGGUAACGGCUUACCAAGGCAACGAUGCGUAGCCGACCUGAGAGGGUGAUCGGCCACACUGGAACUGAGACACGGUCCAGACUCCUACGGGAGGCAGCAGUAGGGAAUCUUCCGCAAUGGGCGAAAGCCUGACGGAGCAACGCCGCGUGAGUGAUGAAGGUCUUCGGAUCGUAGAACUCUGUUAUUAGGGAAGAACAAAUGUGUAAGUAACUAUGCACGUCUUGACGGUACCUAAUCAGAAAGCCACGGCUAACUACGUG